UUCUCUCUCCAUCUCUCCUGGCCUCUUUGUUUCUGCUGAACUGGCAUCUCUACCAUCUCUCUCUCCCUCUUUUUCUGUGACUGUCUCUGCCCUCACCAGCUGCCUUCCUCUGGGGGAGGACUCUUCAGGCCUGUGGCGGGGGGCAGGCACCAUCCGCCUGGAACAGGACGUGUUCUCAGCCCUGGCUGGGCAGGGCCAGAUCUACGUGCACCUUAAUGACGGUAUCUGGAGCCAGAUCAAGUCUGCAGGCUCGGCCCUCUAUGCCUCCCGCCUCUAUCUGGGUCAGUACCAGUUCACUCACCCCGAACGCCUGGCCAAGCACAGCCCAGGCGGGCCGUGGAUCCGAGGUACCCAUCCUGCCACGAUUCCUGAGCUCUGCCCUUCCC
Molecule: long non-coding RNA, 386 nt
Organism: Myotis brandtii (Brandt's bat)
Lineage: Eukaryota; Metazoa; Chordata; Mammalia; Chiroptera; Vespertilionidae
Exons: 3
Source: RefSeq, a predicted model, not a curated record